Molecule: non-coding RNA, 382 nt
Organism: Sus scrofa (pig)
Lineage: Eukaryota; Metazoa; Chordata; Mammalia; Artiodactyla; Suidae
Source: RefSeq, a predicted model, not a curated record
CGUGUCGAUGGUCCCAAUCCAGGGACUGAACCCGUGCCACAGCAGCAACCUCAGCUGCUGCCGCGACAACGCCGAAUCCUUGUCCCGCUGCACCCAAAGAGAACUCCUCAUUCAUUAAUAAAGGGUACAGUCCUAGAGGAUGUUAUUGGAUCCAAGAGUAAAAAGGCCGUAUGUCAGAUGUUGAUGUCUAUUGCCAGAUUGCCCUCCUGAAAGCUUUCACCGCUUUGCGUUACAACCAGCCGUGUAAAAGCACGGCUCUUGCCCCACGGUCUAGCCCGGAGGUUAUCGUAGUCUUUCCUCUGGUACAUAGUUUGUUUUAACUUGUACUUUUUAAAAUUACCAGUUACAAUAAAACAUUGUCAUUGUCCAUGCGCACAACUUA